RNAcentral lists this unclassified non-coding RNA (305 nucleotides) under plant metagenome. Its description in RNAcentral is "partial contains 5.8S ribosomal RNA, internal transcribed spacer 2, and large subunit ribosomal RNA". The stretch from base 1 to 105 matches the Rfam family "5.8S ribosomal RNA", at positions 50 to 154 of the family's 154-position model. The record is from RNAcentral.
GAAAUGCGAUAAGUAAUGUGAAUUGCAGAAUUCAGUGAAUCAUCGAAUCUUUGAACGCACAUUGCGCCCGCCAGUAUUCUGGCGGGCAUGCCUGUUCGAGCGUCAUUUCAACCAUCAAGCCCCCGGCUUGUGUUGGGGACCUGCGGCUGCCCGCAGGCCCUGAAAAACAGUGGCGGGCUCGCUGUCACACCGAGCGUAUUAGCAUACAUUCUCGCUCAGGGCGUGCUGCGGGUUCCGGCCGUUAAACGACCUUCAUAACCCAAGGUUGACCUCGGAUCAGGUAGGAAGACCCGCUGAACUUAAGC